GAAAUGCGAUAAGUAAUGUGAAUUGCAGAUUUCAGUGAAUCAUCGAAUCUUUGAACGCACCUUGCGCUCCUUGGUAUUCCGAGGAGCAUGCCUGUUUGAGUGUCAUGGAAUUCUCAACUCUAUUUGCUUUUGUGAAUAGAGCUUGGAUUUGGAGGUUUAUUGCUGGUACUUGUGAUCGGCUCCUCUUGAAUGCAUUAGCUCGAACCUUUGCGGAUCAGCUAUCGGUGUGAUAAUUGUCUACGCCGUUGCAGUGAAGCAUAUCAAUGGGCUCGGCUUCCAAUCGUCCUUUACUGGACAAUGACUUUGACCUCUGACCUCAAAUCAGGUAGGAUUACCCGCUGAACUUAAGC
This 350-nucleotide unclassified non-coding RNA is filed under the name plant metagenome. Its description in RNAcentral is "partial contains 5.8S ribosomal RNA, internal transcribed spacer 2, and large subunit ribosomal RNA". The stretch from base 1 to 105 matches the Rfam family "5.8S ribosomal RNA", at positions 50 to 154 of the family's 154-position model. The record is from RNAcentral.